RNAcentral lists this ribosomal RNA (253 nucleotides) under uncultured bacterium. RNAcentral's name for it is "partial 16S ribosomal RNA". It matches the Rfam family "Bacterial small subunit ribosomal RNA", at positions 524 to 776 of the family's 1533-position model. The record is from RNAcentral. RNAcentral also lists the same sequence under 1 other name.
UACGAAGGGUGCUAGCGUUGUUCGGAAUCACUGGGCGUAAAGCGCGCGUAGGCGGCUUUUCAAGUCAGGGGUGAAAUGCCAAGGCUUAACCUUGGAACUGCCUUUGAAACUGUAAAGCUGGAGUGUCGGAGGGGAUAGCGGAAUUCCUAAUGUAGUGGUGAAAUACGUAGAUAUUAGGAGGAACACCGGUGGCGAAGGCGGCUAUCUGGACGACAACUGACGCUGAGGCGCGAAAGCGUGGGGAUCAAACAGG